GGCGGCAAGAUAGCCAUUUAGAGGAACCUGCCCUAAAAACGAUGAACCACGAAUACCUUACUUUUUUUUGAGAUCAGUUUGUAUACCGCUGUUGGCAGUUAGUUUCAUUAGAAAACUUUCGUUAAUAAUAUAAUUAUUGACUUCAAGUAAAGGUGCAGCAAAUAAAAAAGACAGAGGUGGGUUACAUUUAAUUGAAUAAAACGGAUAAAGUUAUGAAAUUGCUUUUGAAGGUGGAUUUAAUAGUAAAGUUUAAUAAAACUUGAUGGGAGCUCUGUCUUGUGUACACACCGCCCGUCG
Molecule: ribosomal RNA, 297 nt
Filed under: Amphibalanus amphitrite
Lineage: Eukaryota; Metazoa; Arthropoda; Thecostraca; Balanomorpha; Balanidae
Description: partial 12S ribosomal RNA
Rfam family: Microsporidia small subunit ribosomal RNA
Source: RNAcentral